CAUCAGACGUAAUCUGCCGCAAAAGUGUUGCGGUCACCCGCAAGAUUGGAUACCUUGGCGAAACGCCAAGCUAAUACAUGAACAACGGGUCUCCUCCACCCAAUGCCCGGGGCAACUCGGGCAGCGAGGGACCUUGCGAAUGAAUGAAACUAGGACCAAUCGCCCUUCACGGGGCAGCAAGGCAAGCAGUGUUGAAUCAAUUCAUUCUGUGCGAAAGCCGGUUCACCGGCGUCUUUCGAUGAACAACUGCCCUAUCAGCCAGUGAUGGCCGUGUAGUGGACUGCCAUGGCGUUGACGGGAGCGGGGGAUUAGGGUUCGAUUCCGGAGAGGGAGCCUGAGAAAUGGCUACCACUUCUACGGAGGGCAGCAGGCGCGCAAAUUGCCCAAUACCAAAGCAACUGGUGAGGCGGCGAAAAGAAAUAGGUCUCCCAAACGUCUUACGGCGUUUGGGAGUUUGCAAUGGGGGAUAUCUAAACCCAUCCAAUAUCGAGUAACGAUUGGAGGACAAGUCUGGUGCCAGCACCCGCGGUAAUUCCAGCUCCAAAAGCGUAUAUUAACGCUGUUGCUGUUAAAGGGUUCGUAGUUGAACUGGG
This 593-nucleotide ribosomal RNA is filed under the name uncultured bodonid. RNAcentral describes it as "bacterial SSU rRNA". It matches the Rfam family "Eukaryotic small subunit ribosomal RNA", at positions 104 to 643 of the family's 1831-position model. The record is from RNAcentral. Lineage: Eukaryota; Euglenozoa; Kinetoplastea; Eubodonida; Bodonidae.